Molecule: non-coding RNA, 29 nt
Filed under: Mus musculus (house mouse)
Lineage: Eukaryota; Metazoa; Chordata; Mammalia; Rodentia; Muridae
Source: RNAcentral
UCUCCAUCUAAGAAAAGUAGUAGGCAGCA